GCCGAAAUAGCUCAGAUGGGAGAGCGUCAGACUGAAGAUCUGAAGGUCCCUGGUUCAAUCCCGGUUUUCUGAA
RNAcentral lists this transfer RNA (73 nucleotides) under Dendronephthya gigantea. Its description in RNAcentral is "tRNA-Phe". It matches the Rfam family "tRNA". From Rfam's summary of the family: Transfer RNA (tRNA) molecules are approximately 80 nucleotides in length. Their secondary structure includes four short double-helical elements and three loops (D, anti-codon, and T loops). The record is from RNAcentral. Lineage: Eukaryota; Metazoa; Cnidaria; Anthozoa; Malacalcyonacea; Nephtheidae.